Molecule: non-coding RNA, 88 nt
Organism: Gossypium hirsutum (cotton)
Lineage: Eukaryota; Viridiplantae; Streptophyta; Magnoliopsida; Malvales; Malvaceae
Source: Rfam
GAAGGCAAAUGAUGUUAAAAUUUAUUGCUUAUAUAUACUGAAACAUCAAAUGUAGAUUAAUGAACUCCGCUUAUUAUCUGAUGCCUUU